Molecule: ribosomal RNA, 468 nt
Filed under: uncultured bacterium
Lineage: Bacteria
Description: partial 16S ribosomal RNA
Rfam family: Bacterial small subunit ribosomal RNA
Source: RNAcentral
GACGAACGCUGGCGGCGUGCUUAACACAUGCAAGUCGAACGGAAAGGCCCUGCUUUUGUGGGGUGCUCGAGUGGCGAACGGGUGAGUAACACGUGAGUAACCUGCCCUUGACUUUGGGAUAACUUCAGGAAACUGGGGCUCAUACCCGAUAGGAGCUCCUGCUGCAUGGUGGGGGUUGGAAAGUUUCGGCGGUUGGGGAUGGACUCGCGGCUUAUCAGCUUGUUGGUGGGGUAGUGGCUUACCAAGGCUUUGACGGGUAGCCGGCCUGAGAGGGUGACCGGCCACAUUGGGACUGAGAUACGGCCCAGACUCCUACGGGAGGCAGCAGUGGGGAAUAUUGCACAAUGGGCGGAAGCCUGAGGCAGCAACGCCGCGUGCGGGAUGACGGCCUUCGGGUUGUAAACCGCUUUCGCAUGUGACGAAGCGUGAGUGACGGUAAUGGGUAAAGAAGCACCGGCUAACUACGUG